CGAGAAGUUUGGAUAUCUGGCUCAGAUUGAACGCUGGCGGCAGGCUAACACAUGCAAGUCGAGCGGAUGAAGGGAGCUUGCUCCUGGAUUCAGCGGCGGACGGGUGAGUAAUGCCUAGGAAUCUGCCUGGUAGUGGGGGAUAACGUCCGGAAACGGGCGCUAAUACCGCAUACGUCCUGAGGGAGAAAGUGGGGGAUCUUCGGACCUCACGCUAUCAGAUGAGCCUAGGUCGGAUUAGCUAGUUGGUGGGGUAAAGGCCUACCAAGGCGACGAUCCGUAACUGGUCUGAGAGGAUGAUCAGUCACACUGGAACUGAGACACGGUCCAGACUCCUACGGGAGGCAGCAGUGGGGAAUAUUGGACAAUGGGCGAAAGCCUGAUCCAGCCAUGCCGCGUGUGUGAAGAAGGUCUUCGGAUUGUAAAGCACUUUAAGUUGGGAGGAAGGGCAGUAAGUUAAUACCUUGCUGUUUUGACGUUACCAACAGAAUAAGCACCGGCUAACUUCGUGCCAGCAGCCGCGGUAAUACGAAGGGUGCAAGCGUUAAUCGGAAUUACUGGGCGUAAAGCGCGCGUAGGUGGUUCAGCAAGUUGGAUGUGAAAUCCCCGGGCUCAACCUGGGAACUGCAUCCAAAACUACUGAGCUAGAGUACGGUAGAGGGUGGUGGAAUUUCCUGUGUAGCGGUGAAAUGCGUAGAUAUAGGAAGGAACACCAGUGGCGAAGGCGACCACCUGGACUGAUACUGACACUGAGGUGCGAAAGCGUGGGGAGCAAACAGGAUUAGAUACCCUGGUAGUCCACGCCGUAAACGAUGUCGACUAGCCGUUGGGAUCCUUGAGAUCUUAGUGGCGCAGCUAACGCGAUAAGUCGACCGCCUGGGAGACCCCCCAACG
RNAcentral lists this ribosomal RNA (891 nucleotides) under Pseudomonas aeruginosa. Its description in RNAcentral is "bacterial SSU rRNA". It matches the Rfam family "Bacterial small subunit ribosomal RNA", at positions 9 to 873 of the family's 1533-position model. Lineage: Bacteria; Pseudomonadati; Pseudomonadota; Gammaproteobacteria; Pseudomonadales; Pseudomonadaceae. The record is from RNAcentral.